RNAcentral lists this ribosomal RNA (608 nucleotides) under Cutibacterium acnes. RNAcentral describes it as "partial 16S ribosomal RNA". The stretch from base 189 to 608 matches the Rfam family "Bacterial large subunit ribosomal RNA", at positions 1 to 355 of the family's 2925-position model. Lineage: Bacteria; Bacillati; Actinomycetota; Actinomycetes; Propionibacteriales; Propionibacteriaceae. The record is from RNAcentral.
GACGUCCUGCCUGUGAUGUGGUGGGGUUGAUGGCCGCUGUGGGGUUGUGGGGGUCAUGCGUGUGGUGGCCAGCGGGGCGCUGCGUUGCGGGUCCGUUGGUGAGAGAUCACCAAGUAAUGCACGUUUGAAAUUUGUAGAAUGGAUGCAAGUAUAUUUAUUGAUGUAUGUGUUCGAGCUACGGGGGGUUGUGCAAAGUUGUGUAGUGCGAUCGGUGGAUGCCUUGGCACCAACAACCAAUGAAGGACUUUGUGACCUGCGAUAAUGCCUGGGGAGUUGGCGAGCGAGCUGUGAUCCGGGGCUGACCGAAUGGAGAAACCUGGUCUGGCCGGAGGACUGUCCGGUGGCCCCGCCCUGAAUGUGGGGGGGUGUGGGUGGUAACGCAGGGGAGCGAAACUUCUUCCUGCCCGUAGGAAGAAAAAUCAAGUGAGCUUCAGUGAGUAAUUGCGAACAACCAUAUUACCCUAAAGCAAAAGAAAUCGAUUUUUUACCCCGUGACAAAACACUGAAUUUAUUAGGGAAUCUGGGAAUACCUAUAUACUCAUACCUAUUAACGGUUCACACUCUUGAUAUUUAUCUUCCAACAACCUUUCUUUCGUUUAUCAACAGAU